AGCUUCGAGGUGUAAUUACAUAUUGGAUUGCAAAUCCGAAGACGCAGACUAAUUAUCUGCCGGGGCUU
This 68-nucleotide transfer RNA is filed under the name Congrogadus subducens (carpet eel blenny). Its description in RNAcentral is "tRNA-Cys". It matches the Rfam family "tRNA". Rfam says of the family: Transfer RNA (tRNA) molecules are approximately 80 nucleotides in length. Their secondary structure includes four short double-helical elements and three loops (D, anti-codon, and T loops). Further hydrogen bonds mediate the characteristic L-shaped molecular structure. tRNAs have two regions of fundamental functional importance: the anti-codon, which is responsible for specific mRNA codon recognition, and the 3' end, to which the tRNAs corresponding amino acid is attached (by aminoacyl-tRNA synthetases). tRNAs cope with the degeneracy of the genetic code in two manners: having more than one tRNA (with a specific anti-codon) for a particular amino acid; and 'wobble' base-pairing, i.e. permitting non-standard base-pairing at the 3rd anti-codon position. The record is from RNAcentral. Lineage: Eukaryota; Metazoa; Chordata; Actinopteri; Pseudochromidae.